UGGGGAAUUUUGGACAAUGGGGGAAACCCUGAUCCAGCCAUGCCGCGUGAGUGAAGAAGGCCUUCGGGUUGUAAAGCUCUUUCGGCGGGGACGAAACGGUCCGUGACAACACCACGGACUAAUGACGGUACUCGCAGAAGAAGCACCGGCUAACUACGUGCCAGCAGCCGCGGUAAUACGUAGGGUGCAGGCGUUAAUCGGAAUUACUGGGCGUAAAGCGUGCGCAGGCGGCCUCUUAAGUCAGAUGUGAAAUCCCCGGGCUUAACCUGGGAACUGCGUUUGAAACUGGGAGGCUUGAGUGUGGAAGAGGGGGGUGGAAUUCCAGGUGUAGCAGUGAAAUGCGUAGAGAUCUGGAGGAACACCGAUGGCGAAGGCAGCCCCCUGGGCUGACACUGACGCUCAUGCACGAAAGCGUGGGGAGCAAACAGG
RNAcentral lists this ribosomal RNA (429 nucleotides) under uncultured bacterium. RNAcentral's name for it is "bacterial SSU rRNA". It matches the Rfam family "Bacterial small subunit ribosomal RNA", at positions 355 to 776 of the family's 1533-position model. The record is from RNAcentral.